ACGGAAGGCAGCAGUGGGGAAUAUUGGGCAAUGGGCGAAAGCCUGACCUAGCAACGCCGCGUGAAGGAUGACGGUCUUCGGAUUGUAAACUUCUUUAAUUGGGGAAGAAUAAAUGACCUACCCAAAGAAUAAGUCACGGCUAACUACGUGCCAGCAGCCGCGGUAAUACGUAGGUGACAAGCGUUAUCCGGAUUUACUGGGCGUAAAGGGCGUGUAGGCGGUUUGGCAAGUCAGAAGUGAAAUUCCUGAGCUCAACUCGGGCGCUGCUUCUGAAACUGCUAGACUUGAGUGCUGGAGGGGAUAGCGGAAUUCCCAGUGGAGCGGUAAAAUGCGUAGAUAUUAGGAAGAACACCGGUGGCGAAGGCGGCUAUCUGGACAGUAACUGACGCUGAGGCGCGAAAGCGUGGGGAGCAAACAGGAUUAGAUACCCUGGUA
Molecule: ribosomal RNA, 435 nt
Filed under: uncultured Saccharofermentans sp.
Lineage: Bacteria; Bacillati; Bacillota; Clostridia; Eubacteriales; Oscillospiraceae
Description: partial 16S ribosomal RNA
Rfam family: Bacterial small subunit ribosomal RNA
Source: RNAcentral